Molecule: ribosomal RNA, 301 nt
Filed under: uncultured bacterium
Lineage: Bacteria
Description: partial 16S ribosomal RNA
Rfam family: Bacterial small subunit ribosomal RNA
Source: RNAcentral
CAGCAGCCACGGGAAUACAGAGGGUGCAAGCGUUAAUCGGAAUUACUGGGCGUAAAGCGCGCGUAGGUGGUUUGUUAAGUUGGAUGUGAAAUCCCCGGGCUCAACCUGGGAACUGCAUCCAAAACUGGCAAGCUAGAGUAUGGUAGAGGGUGGUGGAAUUUCCUGUGUAGCGGUGAAAUGCGUAGAUAUAGGAAGGAACACCAGUGGCGAAGGCGACCACCUGGACUGAUACUGACACUGAGGUGCGAAAGCGUGGGGAGCAAACAGGAUUAGAUACCCGGGUAGUCCCUGUCUCUUAUAA